This 1082-nucleotide unclassified non-coding RNA is filed under the name Lucilia cuprina (Australian sheep blowfly). RNAcentral's name for it is "uncharacterized LOC124418678, transcript variant X3". Lineage: Eukaryota; Metazoa; Arthropoda; Insecta; Diptera; Calliphoridae. The record is from RNAcentral.
AGAUUUUUUCUGCUAAAUAGAUGAUUUUAUAAACAAGGUUGAUAGUGAACAGACAUCGAUUAAAAAUGCGUUGGCGGAUACUGUUGCUUCCUUGAAAUCAGAGAUUGCUUCUUGCCUUAAGGAAAUGAAGAGUGAAAUUGUGGAUUGCAAUAAGCUAAUAAACAAUGUCGAGAUAUCAACUUCCAACAAAAUUACAGCGUUAGAGGAGGAAAAUAAUUGUCUGCAUAGAAGACUUAACCGUACUAACAUUAUAGUUACUGGUUUGCCUGCCGGUAUAGAUGAUCUGAUGCCUGUUAUUAUGAAAUUAGGAACAAUAUUUGAUGUUCCAAUUUGCACAUAUGACUUACAAUAUAUUUGCUAUAUGAAUAACAGGAAGUCUAUUUUGGUGAAAUUCAAUAGUAUCUUUGUUCGGGAUAAAAUAAUGAGUCAAUAUUUUAAAACUCGGUCUUUGAAGGUUCGUGAUUUUGUGGAUGGAGAUGUUGAUUUAAGAGUCUAUUUGAAUGACCACUACUCUCCUGCUGCUAGCAGACUUAAUAUGAUUUGCAAAAAGCUGCUUCGUAAAGACCUAAUUAAAAAGUUCCGAAUAAUGAAUAGUGACAGAUUGAGAGUUAAAUUAACAUUACCGGAUGAUUCUGAGGUGGUCUAUAGUCCUUCUCAAUGUGCUGAUUUGCUGGAUGAUGGCCAUAUCUUGUUUUUUUAUAAUGAUGCCUUAUAACCUAACAGCUGGUCCUCAACUCAGUGUAAAUUCUUACUUUAAAACUGCUUUGCAACAUCAUUUAGGAAUUGGCUGCUGAGGGGACCAUUUUUUUAUCUCAAUGUUUUUAAAAUUGAUAUGGCUGGGGAGCCAAGUGAAGAAUAAAUUGAUAUGAGAAUCUGAAUAUUCUAUAGAAGGGACUUAAUAUAAGUAUUUCUAUUUUGAAUCUAAUUUGUAUAUUUUAUUUAUAUAUUAUAGUAUUUAUAUAUAUAUAUGUAUAUAUUUUUUUUUUAUAUAUAUGAUCUCAGGCGUUAUGUGCUGUGUAAUAUUAAUAUUUUGGCCUUUGUAGGCUUUAUAUUACAAAUAAAUGAAAUAAAAUAAAUAAAUA